ACACUGGAGCUUUUGUUUCUGUUGAAGAUCAAUCCACUGCUCAGUUUCUUCUUCCUGCACCUUGUUGAGUUCUUUCCAGACAGAGACAAGUGACAAGAAUUAGAGGUUUAAAAAGCAACCAGAUUCAUCUCAGCAGCUUUUGUAGUUUUAAAUAAGCAAGGCGUUUCUCCAGCGAAACUUCCUCACACCUCUUGGUCUUGGUCUCUUCAGACACUUUCCUUCCUGUUCUCUGGAGAUCUUGCAGAAAAGAGCCUGCGGUGUUUCCCUUGCUCAGCCAUGCUCCUGGUGCUCAUCCCACUGCUGGGGAUACAUUUUGUCCUGAGAACUGCCAGAGCCCAGUCAGUGACCCAGCCUGACAUCCACAUCACUGUCUCUGAAGGAGCCUCACUGGAGUUGAGAUGUAACUAUUCCUAUGGGGCAACACCUUAUCUCUUCUGGAUGGAAAGAACUGUUGAAGAAGCUUUUAUACUUCUUGUUUGCUUGAAGCCUUGGAGGGUAGCAAGUAGUCUGGAGAAAAAGGAGAAGGAGGAUGAAUCUUUCCAGCUGCUACUUGGCUCAUGCCAUAAUGUAUUAGAGGGUUCCUGCAGCAUGAGAGGCUUCUCCAGCGUCCGGCUCAUGCAGUGCACCCACACCAGGUUCCUGCACUGCACAGUGGCCAGCAGUGUCCUCCAGCACUUCCAUUUUUGUGUGGUACUGCAGAACACAGCCUGCAGUGAGACACCUUCCUGUAUCCAGCUUUCCCCAUAUUCAUCCCUAGAUUCAUGAAUCGGCACCCUAGAUUAUGGUUUUCUGGGGUGAGACGAGUGAAGGUGGAGCAGAGUCCUUCAGUUCCGAGUCUCCAGGAGAGAACCAGCUCUACACUGAGAUGCAGUUUUUCUACCUCUGUGAACAACAUGCAGUGGUUGCAACAGAAUCCUGGGUUGGCCUCAUCAAUCUGUUUUUCAUGGCUUCAUGGAUGAAGCACAGUGGAAAGUUAUGGUCAAAAAGAAACUCUGAGGAGCUCUGUGGUACCCUACACAUCACAGCCGCCCACCUGAAAGACUCAGGCACAUACUUCUGUGCAGUGGAGGCACAGUUCUCCCAGGAAAUCUGCAGCCUGGAUCCGAACUGCAGCUGGGCCUGCAGCCGCAAUCCCUUCCGUGAGAGAGGCAUGUUGCCCCCACAGUAUCACUUGCACAGCUUCGGGUUUUCUGAUUGACGUUGCACUUUUAUCUCUGCUAAAAUUAGACAUUUCAGGAUUGCCAUUUAACUUUUUUGUCCUACCCUUUUGCUCUCAGAAAUCUCUUUGCAGGAAAACGCUUUGAUAUGGGACCACUGGAGCAACUUUUAAAGAUAUCAGGACCCAAUGUACUGUUAAAACAGAUCCUCUAGCAAAGAGCAUAUAAAUUACAUAUAAAUUACUGUGAUAAGAAAGGUUUGAAAAAAUACAUCCUGGUCAAGAAAUAGCAAAGAGAUGACUCAGUGUUUCAUCUAAAUGCACGUUGUUCACUUUUCUAGUAAAAGGGAAGAGAGCAUGUGUGAUGUAUAUUAUAUAUAUAUUUUUUACUCCUGGAACCCAUAAAAGAUAAAAUUUUAAAGCACAUAACGUCAUUGGGUGUCAGACAUUCUCUGAAUUUACAUAUAUUAUCUAGGUGCUGACAAUACCUCUUUACUCUACACAUGAAUAAACUGAGGAUUAUAGGGCACACAUGUCUUGCCUGAGCUCAGAUGGUUAUGAAACUAGCAAUGAAGCUGGGCUGGGAUUCUCCUUCUCGAUGUAUGAAAGCAGAGUGUGUACUCUAAGCUACACACUAUAGAAGACUCUUGAGAAUCACAAAAUACCAAUUAUUUCAAUUGAUAAAUUUGUGCAAUGUGCUCACAUACAUCACUGGCUAAUAUAUCCAUUGGGAUAAUUUCUAAAUUGCAUCUAGUAAGAAAGAGUUCAUUAAACUUUUCAUUUUGUUACAUU
This is a non-coding RNA of Gorilla gorilla gorilla (western lowland gorilla), 1948 nucleotides long. The record is from the annotation of a RefSeq genome assembly. NCBI's taxonomy places the organism in Eukaryota, Metazoa, Chordata, Mammalia, Primates, Hominidae.